UGAGGAAUAUUGCACAAUGGAGGAAACUCUGAUGCAGCAACGCCGCGUGGAGGAUGACGCAUUUCGGUGUGUAAACUCCUUUUAUAUGUCAAGAAAAUGACGGUAGCAUAUGAAUAAGCACCGGCUAACUCCGUGCCAGCAGCCGCGGUAAUACGGAGGGUGCAAGCGUUACUCGGAAUCACUGGGCGUAAAGGACGCGUAGGCGGGUUGUCAAGUCAGGUGUGAAAUCCUACAGCUUAACUGUAGAACUGCACUUGAAACUGGCAACCUAGAGUAUGGGAGGGGGAGAUGGAAUUAGUGGUGUAGGGGUAAAAUCCGUAGAUAUCACUAGGAAUACCUAAAGCGAAGGCGAUCUCCUGGAACAUUACUGACGCUAAGGCGUGAAAGCGUGGGGAGCAAACAGG
This 404-nucleotide ribosomal RNA is filed under the name uncultured Sulfurimonas sp. RNAcentral's name for it is "bacterial SSU rRNA". It matches the Rfam family "Bacterial small subunit ribosomal RNA", at positions 355 to 776 of the family's 1533-position model. Lineage: Bacteria; Pseudomonadati; Campylobacterota; Epsilonproteobacteria; Campylobacterales; Sulfurimonadaceae. The record is from RNAcentral.